GACGAACGCUGGCGGCGUGCUUAACACAUGCAAGUCGAGCGGUAAGGCCCUUUCGGGGUACACGAGCGGCGAACGGGUGAGUAACACGUGGGUGACCUGCCCUCAGCUCUGGGAUAAGCCUGGGAAACCGGGUCUAAUACCGGAUAUGACUCCAUGACGCAUGUUGUGGGGUGGAAAGCCUUGUGCGGCUGAGGAUGGGCCCGCGGCCUAUCAGCUUGUUGGUGGGGUGAUGGCCUACCAAGGCGACGACGGGUAGCCGGCCUGAGAGGGCGACCGGCCACACUGGGACUGAGACACGGCCCAGACUCCUACGGGAGGCAGCAGUGGGGAAUCUUGCGCAAUGGGCGAAAGCCUGACGCAGCGACG
Molecule: ribosomal RNA, 366 nt
Filed under: uncultured bacterium
Lineage: Bacteria
Description: bacterial SSU rRNA
Rfam family: Bacterial small subunit ribosomal RNA
Source: RNAcentral